CUUCUCAACUACAAGUCCAGGCACAUUAUACCAAAUGUGUGUGCUGUACACUAUCUUCUCUUCUAAGUAAUGUUAUUUCGCGGACUAUAGUAAAUUUAUCAUGUGAAAAUUAUAUGAUAAUUUUGAACUUUUCAAAUUUCAUGCACGAAAUUAAUAUUGGAUGCAGUCACGGCUACGCUAGUAUGAGCUUUACAACUUAACACACUUAACAAAUCAUGACCCCAAGAAUUUCUCCGGUCAAUCCGACUAGCUGGAGCCUUCCAGCCAGUCUCAGCCGCCGGAAACACACUCCCCGGAAUUUUCCGGCGAACUUGCCGGUUUUUUAUAUCUUGGAGGUCCAUUUCUGGUGGAAAUUUCACUAGGCCAAACUUCAAAAUAGAACAUCUUGGUUUAGAUACCUUUGAUCCCGGAUCAGAUUUUGUCGAACUCUUUGAUGAACUUCUUAGGAUUUCCGAGUCCUCAGAUUUGAUUUCCAAGCUUGAAUUAUGGAGUUUUCUGUAAUCUAAAAACCUGCUGUUUCUUAUCAACUUCUUCGUCUUGUGUGAUCUUGUGUUCUCAUCAGACAACGAUUCGCACCUUCUUGUAUUAAAAUUCUUGAAGCUAUUAUCAUCUGUCGAGAGAGAAUUGUGAAAAUGAUCCUUGAGAAGAGGUUGUUCUUUGUAGGGUACGAGUUUACCACAGAAAAUUAUGUCUUCUGCAUGGGACAUGUCGGAGCUGACAUCACUGAAGAACUCGAACAAAUCUGAGGGCGACGAAGAACUUCGAUCUUGAAUCUUAGAAACAUCCUUCUUCUCGGAUUCGUCACUGUUUAGAGGAAAAUCACAAAGAGAAAUUAUCUCUUCUUCUUCUUCUUCUUCUUCUUCUUCUUCUUUUGUAUACACUUGAUCCUGAAAACUUGUAGAAUCAUCCAUUUUCAGAGAGAAG
RNAcentral lists this long non-coding RNA (924 nucleotides) under Olea europaea subsp. europaea. Lineage: Eukaryota; Viridiplantae; Streptophyta; Magnoliopsida; Lamiales; Oleaceae. The record is from RNAcentral.